UCCCCUUCUUUAUGGGUGUUCCCCU
Molecule: non-coding RNA, 25 nt
Filed under: Rattus norvegicus (Norway rat)
Lineage: Eukaryota; Metazoa; Chordata; Mammalia; Rodentia; Muridae
Source: RNAcentral